This 585-nucleotide ribosomal RNA is filed under the name uncultured bacterium. RNAcentral's name for it is "partial 16S ribosomal RNA". It matches the Rfam family "Bacterial small subunit ribosomal RNA", at positions 355 to 1375 of the family's 1533-position model. The record is from RNAcentral.
UGGGGAAUUUUGGACAAUGGGCGAAAGCCUGAUCCAGCAAUGCCGCGUGUGUGAAGAAGGCCUUCGGGUUGUAAAGCACUUUUGUCCGGAAAGAAAUCCUUGGCUCUAAUACAGUCGGGGGAUGACGGUACCGGAAGAAUAAGCACCGGCUAACUACGUGCCAGCAGCCGCGGUAAUACGUAGGGUGCAAGCGUUAAUCGGAAUUACUGGGCGUAAAGCGUGCGCAGGCGGUUUGCUAAGACCGAUGUGAAAUCCCCGGGCUCAACCUGGGAACUGCAUUGGUGACUGGCAGGCUAGAGUAUGGCAGAGGGGGGUAAAUAUCCACGUGUAGCAGUGAAAUGCGUAGAGAUGUGGAGGAAUACCGAUGGCGAAGGCAGCCCCCUGGGCCAAUACUGACGCUCAUGCACGAAAGCGUGGGGAGCAAACAGGAUUAGAUACCCUGGUAGUCCACGCCCUAAACGAUGUCAACUAGUUGUUGGGGAUUCAUUUCCUUAGUAACGUAGCUAACGCGUGAAGUUGACCGCCUGGGGAGUACGGUCGCAAGAUUAAAACUCAAAUGAAUUGACGGGGUCAUAGCUGUUUCCU